CCUCAGAAUGGUUGGAAAUCAUUCACAGAGUGUAAAGGCAUAAGGGUGCUUGACUGCGAGACCUACAAGUCGAGCAGGGUCGAAAGACGGACUUAGUGAUCCGGUGGUUCCGCAUGGAAGGGCCAUCGCUCAACGGAUAAAAGCUACCCCGGGGAUAACAGGCUUAUCUCCCCAACGAGUUCACAUCGACGGGGAGGUUUGGUCACCUCGAUGUCGGCUCAUCGCAUCCUGGGGCUGUAGUCGGUCCCAAGGGUUGGGCUGUUCGCCCAUUAAAGCGGUACGCGAGCUGGGUUCAGAACGUCGUGAGACAGUUCGGUCCCUAUCCGUCGUGGGCGUAGGAAAUUUGAGAGGCGCUGUCCUUAGUACGAGAGGACCGGGAUGGACAUACCACU
Molecule: ribosomal RNA, 392 nt
Filed under: uncultured Staphylococcus sp.
Lineage: Bacteria; Bacillati; Bacillota; Bacilli; Caryophanales; Staphylococcaceae
Description: bacterial LSU rRNA
Rfam family: Bacterial large subunit ribosomal RNA
Source: RNAcentral